Long non-coding RNA from Mustela erminea (ermine), 683 nucleotides. RefSeq lists it as uncharacterized. The transcript is spliced from 2 exons. The record is from RefSeq and is a predicted model, not a curated record. NCBI's taxonomy places the organism in Eukaryota, Metazoa, Chordata, Mammalia, Carnivora, Mustelidae.
GUAAAGUUGACAAGAAGGGGAAGAGAAAGGUUACCUAUUUCACUUUCUUGCACACACCCUUCUAUCUUCUACCCGUCCCUGAACUUCUGCCUGGCACGGAGCAGCAGAGGCACAGAAUAUGAGGAACAACAAAGGAUGUGAAAGCCCAACAGAAGACCAGAUUUUCAGAAAUGCGGAAGGUGCCGUGUUCAGGCAACCUCCCACAGGCGUGCUCCGCGAUGCAGGGGACGUGGGUGUCGCUCGAGAACUUCCGGAGCACCCGCUGACGCUGACGGGCCGGGGAGAAAUGGGAAUUAUGCACUCUGGGAACCCUGGGGACGUGACAGUUAACUCGUUUACAUUGAAAGUUGAACAGAUCUGCCCCAAGUAACAGAUAAACAUAUUGACACAGAUUGUAAAUCGCAGUGGUGCAGAGCUGGCGGGGGUCCAGAGAUCAUCUCACCCGACUGGCUCCUGGUACAGAAAAGGAAACUGAGGCCGGGACAUCCCACGUGACCGGCGCAGCUGCACCCAAGAGAGCGGGGGGCGGGCAGAGCUAGGGCUCAAGUGUUGCUUUCUUGGCUCCUAGUCCAGUCCGCUUUUCUUACAAGCCCCCAUAUGCCUCUGAACUUGAGUGGAAUGAUUCUGUUAUCUUACAACAGACAGAAGGCAGUGAGGGAAACAAGAUGGAAAAAAAAAAAAAG